UACAGAGGGUGCGAGCGUUGUCCGGAAUCACUGGGCGUAAAGGGCGCGUAGGCGGUCCCCUAAGUGUGUGGUGAAAGCUCGGGGCUCAACCCCGAGUCGGCCGUGCAAACUGGGGGACUCGAGCAUGUCAGAGGCAGGCGGAAUUCCGGGUGUAGCGGUGGAAUGCGUAGAGAUCCGGAAGUACACCGGUUGCGAAGGCGGCCUUUUGGGACAUGGCUGACGCUGAGGUGCGACAGCGUGGGGAGCAAACAGG
Molecule: ribosomal RNA, 253 nt
Filed under: uncultured bacterium
Lineage: Bacteria
Description: partial 16S ribosomal RNA
Rfam family: Bacterial small subunit ribosomal RNA
Source: RNAcentral